This is a non-coding RNA of Cinara cedri, 318 nucleotides long. Lineage: Eukaryota; Metazoa; Arthropoda; Insecta; Hemiptera; Aphididae. The record is from the annotation of a GenBank genome assembly.
AAAAAAAAAAUAAAAAAAAAUAACGGAUAAUAACAAACCGUACGCGUAAACGCGGCCGCGGCGCGGUCGGCGCGUACGCGUUUUAAAAACAUCGCGCACGUAUCGUUUGUAUCGCGUACCUCGUACGGCCGAAUAAUACGUAUGUUACGUCGUGGCGAGAGAGAGAGAGACAGAGACAAAACCCGCGAGCGCGUUUUCGAUACAAUAAUAAUAAUAAUAACAAUAACAAUAACAAUAAUAACAAUAAUACUGUAUAAUAUUUUUUUGGGAAUUACGCGAUUCGUCCCGGUUGUCCGAUUUCUCGUCUCUCCCGACAAU